GUACUGCUGAAGAGUUCCAAACUAGGACGAAACCGCAAGCUUCCAGUAC
This 49-nucleotide non-coding RNA is filed under the name Trichobilharzia regenti. Lineage: Eukaryota; Metazoa; Platyhelminthes; Trematoda; Strigeidida; Schistosomatidae. The record is from RNAcentral.